RNAcentral lists this transfer RNA (76 nucleotides) under Bradyrhizobium sp. CSA207. RNAcentral's name for it is "tRNA-Met". Lineage: Bacteria; Pseudomonadati; Pseudomonadota; Alphaproteobacteria; Hyphomicrobiales; Nitrobacteraceae. The record is from RNAcentral.
CGGGAGUCGCCAAGGCCGCUAAGGACACUGUCAGGCUCAUAACCUGAAGGUCAUAGGUUCAAAUCCUAUCCCCGCA